UACGGGGGGGGUAAGCGUUGUUCGGAAUUACUGGGCGUAAAGGGCUCGUAGGCGGCCAACUAAGUCAGACGUGAAAUCCCUCAGCUUAACUGGGGAACUGCGUCCGAUACUGGAUGGCUUGAGUUUGGGAGAGGGAUGCGGAAUUCCAGGUGUAGCGGUGAAAUGCGUAGAUAUCUGGAGGAACACCGGUGGCGAAGGCGGCAUCCUGGACCAGCACUGACACUGAGGAGCGAAAGCCAGGGGAGCAAACGGG
Molecule: ribosomal RNA, 253 nt
Filed under: uncultured bacterium
Lineage: Bacteria
Description: partial 16S ribosomal RNA
Rfam family: Bacterial small subunit ribosomal RNA
Source: RNAcentral